Molecule: ribosomal RNA, 505 nt
Filed under: uncultured bacterium
Lineage: Bacteria
Description: bacterial SSU rRNA
Rfam family: Bacterial small subunit ribosomal RNA
Source: RNAcentral
CUACGUGCCAGCAGCCGCGGUAAUACGGAAGGUCCAGGCGUUAUCCGGAUUUAUUGGGUUUAAAGGGAGUGUAGGCGGUUUGUUAAGCGUGUUGUGAAAUUUAGGUGCUCAACAUUUAACUUGCAGCGCGAACUGUCAGACUUGAGUACACGCAACGUAUGCGGAAUUCAUGGUGUAGCGGUGAGAUGCUUAGAUAUCAUGAAGAACUCCGAUUGCGAAGGCAGCAUACGGGAGUGUAACUGACGCUUAAGCUCGAAGGUGCGGGUAUCGAACAGGAUUAGAUACCCUGGUAGUCCGCACAGUAAACGAUGGAUGCCCGCUGUUAGCGCCUGGCGUUAGCGGCUAAGCGAAAGCAUUAAGCAUCCCACCUGGGGAGUACGCCGGCAACGGUGAAACUCAAAGGAAUUGACGGGGGCCCGCACAAGCGGAGGAACAUGUGGUUUAAUUCGAUGAUACGCGAGGAACCUUACCCGGGCUUGAAUUGCAGAGGAAUUAUUUAGAGAUA